GAAAUUUCUUAAUUUUCGUCUUUCCCAGUAGAAUUCCCAGCCUCGAAGAAUUGAAAAGGAUCUAUUUGACGUCAUUCUCAACCCUACUCCAUUGAACUCGACUCGGAAAUCUCAAUCUACAAACUCUAAAGUCACAGCGAGAGGGGAGAAUCUCAAUACAGAGGCAAUGGAUGAGAAGCAGCAACUGGCGGAAGAGGAGGAUCGGAGCAGUGAGAGCGGGGACUAUACGUCGGAGGACGAAGGAACUGAGGAUUAUCGGCGC
RNAcentral lists this unclassified non-coding RNA (262 nucleotides) under Hevea brasiliensis (rubber tree). The record is from RNAcentral. Lineage: Eukaryota; Viridiplantae; Streptophyta; Magnoliopsida; Malpighiales; Euphorbiaceae.